UGGUUAAAAAGCUCGUAGUUGGAUCUCGGCGGACUGAGGGCGGUUUGCUUGCUAGUAUUACUGCCCUAUAGUCCGUAGUUUUGCCAGAGGUUUCGGGGUGCUCUUAAUCAAGUGUCCCGGGAUGCUGGCAGGUUUACUUUGAAAAAAUUAGAGUGCUCAAAGCAGGCUAUUACGCCUGAAUAUUCGUGCAUGGAAUAAUAGAAUAGGAAGUCGUUUCUAUUUUGUUGGUUUUCGGAAAUCGACUUAAUGAUUAAUAGGGACAGUCGGGGGCAUUUGUAUUCAAACGACAGAGGUGAAAUUCUUGGACCGUUUGAAGACAAACUACUGCGAAAGCAUUUGCCAAGAAUGUUUUCAUUAAUCAAGAACGAAAGUUAAAGGUUCGAAGGCGAUUAGAUACCGCCCUAGUUUUAACCAUAAACGAUGCCAGCUAGCGAUCUGCGGACGUUUUUUUUGUAGACUCCGCAGGAAGCUUCCGGGAAACCAAAAGCAUUUGGGUUCCAGGGGAAGUAUGGUUGCAAAGCUGAAACUUAAAGGAAUUGACGGAAGGGCACCACCAGGAGUGGAGCCUGUGGCU
Molecule: ribosomal RNA, 574 nt
Filed under: uncultured marine eukaryote
Lineage: Eukaryota
Description: SSU rRNA
Rfam family: Eukaryotic small subunit ribosomal RNA
Source: RNAcentral